AUUGAACGCUAGCGGGAUGCCUUACACAUGCAAGUCGAACGGCAGCACGGACUUCGGUCUGGUGGCGAGUGGCGAACGGGUGAGUAAUGUAUCGGAACGUGCCCAGUAGCGGGGGAUAACUACGCGAAAGCGUAGCUAAUACCGCAUACGCCCUUAGGGGGAAAGCAGGGGAUCGCAAGACCUUGCACUAUUGGAGCGGCCGAUAUCGGAUUAGCUAGUUGGUGAGGUAAUGGCUCACCAAGGCCGCGAUCCGUAGCUGGUUUGAGAGGACGACCAGACACACGGGGACUGGGACCCGGCCCUGAAUCCUACGGGAGGCAUCAGUGGGGAAUUUUGUACAAUGGGGGAAACCCUGAUCCAGCCAUCCCGCGUGUGCGAUGAAGGCCUUCGGGUUGUAAAGCACUUUUGGCAGGAAAGAAACGGCGCGUGCUAAUACCAUGCGCAACUGACGGUACCUGCAGAAUAAGCACCGGCUAACUACGUGCCAGCCGCCGCGGUAA
RNAcentral lists this ribosomal RNA (500 nucleotides) under uncultured bacterium. RNAcentral describes it as "partial 16S ribosomal RNA". It matches the Rfam family "Bacterial small subunit ribosomal RNA", at positions 30 to 523 of the family's 1533-position model. The record is from RNAcentral.